UUUCUAAGAAUCCAACAUAUUCAAGGAAGUAAUAUCUGAUUUACUGAUGAAAGUCAUUUGACUAGUUUCAAGGAAUUCUGAGUGGGAGCGUGAAACUCUGUCCACCUUUCCAGGAGCGCCACAAUGGCUUGCUAAGAAGGAACAAACGGUCUUGCUGAUGAGAUAUACAGUGCUUGAUACAUUUUCCACCAGUGGGAGCUACAUCGAAAGAUGAAGUGAGGCACUUGGGGAGGAGACUCCAAGCUUGACUCAACAUACAAGGGUCUAAAAAAGUGGAUAAACUGAAAGAUGGCCUUGUGUCUUAAAAAGGCUGAAGCUUAUGUGUAUGUGUGGAGGGAGCGAGAACUUUUCUUUACAGAAUUCCCUGCAAUCAAUUUCCAGACUUGGAAUAUGCUGUGGCACCUGCUCUGCUAGAGGGAGCAUCUACUGGCUCUCUUCCGCUUCGUUUUGGGAAAGUAAUGAACUGUUGGUUAUAAACAGUUGAAAACAAAUAUCAGAAGGUCAUUGUGCUGCUAAACUUUGAUAUAUUGAGAAAUGUGAACUUUAGCGGGACUUCUAAAGUACUGUCAUGCAGGAGGCGGUAGAGUAAGUGGCUUCAUCUAUCACUGGUGAAAACAUGGUACAGCAUCACUGCUUGAAGGUUGAGCAUGAAAAUACUCAACCCUGAUUAAACGACCAUAAUUCCUCAAGUCUGGGACAUGGUUGGCAGACAUAGGAAGCUGGGGCCUUAAAAU
RNAcentral lists this long non-coding RNA (734 nucleotides) under Macaca mulatta (Rhesus monkey). RNAcentral's name for it is "lncRNA (ENSMMUG00000050244.1)". Lineage: Eukaryota; Metazoa; Chordata; Mammalia; Primates; Cercopithecidae. The record is from RNAcentral.